RNAcentral lists this ribosomal RNA (481 nucleotides) under uncultured bacterium. Its description in RNAcentral is "partial 16S ribosomal RNA". It matches the Rfam family "Bacterial small subunit ribosomal RNA", at positions 28 to 507 of the family's 1533-position model. The record is from RNAcentral.
GAUGAACGCUGGCGGCGUGCUUAACACAUGCAAGUCGAACGAAGCACUUUAUUUGAUUUCCUUCGGGACUGAUUAUUUUGUGACUGAGUGGCGGACGGGUGAGUAACGCGUGGGUAACCUGCCUUGUACAGGAGGAUAACAGUUGGAAACGGCUGCUAAUACCGCAUAAGCGCACGGCAUCGCAUGAUGCAGUGUGAAAAACUCCGGUGGUAUAAGAUGGACCCGCGUUGGAUUAGCUAGUUGGUGAGGUAACGGCCCACCAAGGCGACGAUCCAUAGCCGACCUGAGAGGGUGACCGGCCACAUUGGGACUGAGACACGGCCCAAACUCCUACGGGAGGCAGCAGUGGGGAAUAUUGCACAAUGGGCGAAAGCCUGAUGCAGCGACGCCGCGUGAGCGAAGAAGUAUUUCGGUAUGUAAAGCUCUAUCAGCAGGGAAGAUAAUGACGGUACCUGACGAAGAAGCACCGGCUAAAUACGUG